This 235-nucleotide small nuclear RNA is filed under the name Sorex araneus (European shrew). Its description in RNAcentral is "7SK RNA (ENSSARG00000019904.1)". It matches the Rfam family "7SK RNA". Rfam says of the family: 7SK was discovered as an abundant small nuclear RNA in the mid-70s but a possible function has only recently been suggested. Two independent studies have found that 7SK RNA binds the CDK9/cyclin T complex (known as elongation factor P-TEFb). The record is from RNAcentral. Lineage: Eukaryota; Metazoa; Chordata; Mammalia; Eulipotyphla; Soricidae.
GGAUGUGAAGGCGAUCUGGCUGCAAUAUCUAUCACUCCAUGUGCAUCCCUCCCAAAGCUGUACACUUGGUUAAAGAUGAGAGUCUUCCUGGAAUAGAUAUGGACCAUUCUUCAGUUUAGGUAGCUGCGGUCCCCUGCUAAAACCUCCAGACAAGCUCUCAAAUAUUGAUGCAAAGGUUCGUGAUGCUUUGUUAGCCCUUACCCAACUAUCUAAAGCCAAUCUGACUGGCACGUUU